This 370-nucleotide long non-coding RNA is filed under the name Capra hircus (goat). RNAcentral's name for it is "lncRNA (ENSCHIG00000007973.1)". The record is from RNAcentral. Lineage: Eukaryota; Metazoa; Chordata; Mammalia; Artiodactyla; Bovidae.
ACCAAAUAUAGUCGGGCCUGGCUAUUUUUAGCCGGGCCUCGGGCGCGAGCGCGCCGCGUGAGGGGGCGCCCUGACCCCGCGGGGAGUGCGGAGGGGGCGGGGGUGGAGGCGCCAUCUUGGACUCGGCUCGACCCCGUCUGGUGACCGGCGACGCUGGGCCAGGCUCGGCGCAGGGGGUCGGGAUCAGAGCAAGUGAGGAACUCAGCAGAGUCAGGCGAAAGAAGGAGGGUACUAUUAAUAUUUGGUGCCCAUUCUGUUGCUGUGCCUGUUUCGGCUUAGGUAAGUAGGUACACUUUCAGUUUUAAUGAUCUCAUUAGAAUUUUUUUCUCCAAGAAUUUGUUGUUCCUGAAGUACUACAUUUUUCAUAAAA